This 74-nucleotide transfer RNA is filed under the name Nitrospirota bacterium. RNAcentral describes it as "Nitrospirae bacterium (groundwater metagenome) tRNA-Gln". It matches the Rfam family "tRNA". From Rfam's summary of the family: Transfer RNA (tRNA) molecules are approximately 80 nucleotides in length. The record is from RNAcentral. RNAcentral also lists the same sequence under 1 other name. Lineage: Bacteria; Pseudomonadati; Nitrospirota.
UGGGGGGUCGUCCAGUGGUAGGACGGCAGAUUCUGGAUCUGCUUACCGGGGUUCGAAUCCUCGCCCCCCAGCCA